AAAUAGCUMCCHCUUCYNSGGRGGVCVVCVGGCGCGCAAAUUGCCCAAUGUCAAAAAAAAACGAUGAGGCAGCGAAAAGAAAUAGAGCCGGCAGUGCCACUGGCAUUGCCGUUUUCAAUGGGGGAUAUUUAAACCCAUCCAAAAUCGAGUAUCAAUUGGAGGACAAGUCUGGUGCCAGCACCCGCGGUAAUUCCAGCUCCAAAA
RNAcentral lists this ribosomal RNA (204 nucleotides) under Trypanosoma vegrandis. RNAcentral's name for it is "partial small subunit ribosomal RNA". The record is from RNAcentral. Lineage: Eukaryota; Euglenozoa; Kinetoplastea; Trypanosomatida; Trypanosomatidae.